Molecule: ribosomal RNA, 447 nt
Filed under: uncultured bacterium
Lineage: Bacteria
Description: bacterial SSU rRNA
Rfam family: Bacterial small subunit ribosomal RNA
Source: RNAcentral
UGGGGAAUAUUGGACAAUGGGCGCAAGCCUGAUCCAGCCAUGCCGCGUGAGUGACGAAGGUCUUCGGAUUGUAAAACUCUUUUGGCGGGGACGAUAAUGACGGUACCCGCAGAAUAAGCCCCGGCUAACUUCGUGCCAGCAGCCGCGGUAAUACGAAGGGGGCUAGCGUUGUUCGGAAUCACUGGGCGUAAAGCGCACGUAGGCGGAUGUGCCAGUCAGGGGUGAAAUCCCGGAGCUCAACUCCGGAACUGCCUCUGAUACUGCACGUCUUGAGUUCGAGAGAGGUGGGUGGAAUUCCUAGUGUAGAGGUGAAAUUCGUAGAUAUUAGGAAGAACACCGGUGGCGAAGGCGGCCCACUGGAUCGGUACUGACGCUGAGGUGCGAAAGCGUGGGGAGCAAACAGGAUUAGAUACCCAAGUAGUCCCUGAGCGGGCUGGCAAGGCGCAU